Non-coding RNA from Caerostris darwini, 112 nucleotides. The record is from the annotation of a GenBank genome assembly. Lineage: Eukaryota; Metazoa; Arthropoda; Arachnida; Araneae; Araneidae.
AACGGCCAUACCAUGCUGAAUAUACCGGUUCUCGUUAGAUCACCGAAGUCAAGCAUCAUUGGGCGCGGUCAGUACUUGGGUGGGUGACCACCUGGGAAUACCGCGUGCCGUU